This 225-nucleotide non-coding RNA is filed under the name Niallia circulans. RNAcentral's name for it is "Bacillus circulans T-box sequence". It matches the Rfam family "T-box leader". From Rfam's summary of the family: Uncharged tRNA acts as the effector for transcription antitermination of genes in the T-box leader family. T-boxes are found upstream of many aminoacyl-tRNA synthetase genes and some amino acid biosynthetic genes usually in Gram-positive bacteria. The record is from RNAcentral. Lineage: Bacteria; Bacillati; Bacillota; Bacilli; Caryophanales; Bacillaceae.
GUUAUUGCUUUGAAGGGAAGAAGUAGUUCUUUUAUCACUAUAAACAGAGAGCCAUUGGUCGGUGCAAAAUGGCAUAAAUAAAAGAAUGAAUUACCUCCUGGAGCUUUCACUGGGAAAGUUAUUUUAAAUUAGUAGCAGUGAACGGCGUGGACCGUUAUUCUAAUGAAGUGGAGAAUCUAUUUUCUCAAGUUAUGGGUGGUACCGCGCUGAUUUGGCGUCCCUGCA